RNAcentral lists this ribosomal RNA (773 nucleotides) under uncultured bacterium. Its description in RNAcentral is "bacterial SSU rRNA". It matches the Rfam family "Bacterial small subunit ribosomal RNA", at positions 52 to 839 of the family's 1533-position model. The record is from RNAcentral.
CACAUGCAGUCGGACGGAGCUUAGAGAGCUUGCUUUUUAAGCUUAGUGGCGAACGGGUGAGUAACGCGUGAGUAACCUGCCCUAGAGUGGGGGACAACAGUUGGAAACGACUGCUAAUACCGCAUAAGCCCACGGUACCGCAUGGUACUGAGGGAAAAGGAUUUAUUCGCUUUAGGAUGGACUCGCGUCCAAUUAGCUAGUUGGUGAGGUAACGGCCCACCAAGGCGACGAUUGGUAGCCGGACUGAGAGGUUGAACGGCCACAUUGGGACUGAGACACGGCCCAGACUCCUACGGGAGGCAGCAGUGGGGGAUAUUGCACAAUGGGGGAAACCCUGAUGCAGCGACGCCGCGUGGAGGAAGAAGGUUUUCGGAUUGUAAACUCCUGUCGUUAGGGACGAUAAUGACGGUACCUAACAAGAAAGCACCGGCUAACUACGUGCCAGCAGCCGCGGUAAAACGUAGGGUGCAAGCGUUGUCCGGAAUUACUGGGUGUAAAGGGAGCGCAGGCGGGAAGACAAGUUGGAAGUGAAAACCAUGGGCUCAACCCAUGAAUUGCUUUCAAAACUGUUUUUCUUGAGUAGUGCAGAGGUAGAUGGAAUUCCCGGUGUAGCGGUGGAAUGCGUAGAUAUCGGGAGGAACACCAGUGGCGAAGGCGGUCUACUGGGCACCAACUGACGCUGAGGCUCGAAAGCAUGGGUAGCAAACAGGAUUAGAUACCCUGGUAGUCCAUGCCGUAAACGAUGAUUACUAGGUGUUGGGGGGAUUGACCCC